Molecule: ribosomal RNA, 492 nt
Filed under: uncultured bacterium
Lineage: Bacteria
Description: partial 16S ribosomal RNA
Rfam family: Bacterial small subunit ribosomal RNA
Source: RNAcentral
AGUGAACGCUGGCGGUAGGCCUAACACAUGCAAGUCGAACGGCAGCACAGUAAGAGCUUGCUCUUACGGGUGGCGGGAGGGGGACGUGUGAGGAAUGCAUCCGAAUCUAGUUUUUCGGGUGGGUUCACGUAGGUAGACCUACGAUAAUAUCGCAUACGCCGUACGGUUGAAGGCAGUGGAUCGUCUGACCGUGCGCGGAUGGACGCGCCGCUGUCGGACGAGCUAGUUGGCGGGGUAAAGGCCCAGCAAGGCGCCGAUCCGUAGCUGGUGUGAGAGGAUGGUCAGCCACACGGGAACUGAGACAGGGUCCAGACUCCUACGGGAGGCAGCAGUGGGGAAUAUGAGACAAUGGGCGCAAGCCUGAUCCAGUCAUACCGAGUGUGUGAAGAAGGCCUUCGGGUUGUAAAGCCCUUUUGUUGGGAGAGAAAAGCAGUAGGUUAAUACGCCGCUGUUCUGACGGUAAUCAAAGAAUAAGCACCGGCUAACUUCGUG